GGAACAGGCCUUUCAGGCAUCCUCUCCCAAAAAACUUUCAUGGGCCGGUCUUCGGAUCGGCCCUUUUUUUGUCCGAUU
Molecule: small RNA, 78 nt
Filed under: Novosphingobium sp. PP1Y
Lineage: Bacteria; Pseudomonadati; Pseudomonadota; Alphaproteobacteria; Sphingomonadales; Sphingomonadaceae
Description: Makes More Granules Regulator RNA (mmgR)
Rfam family: Makes More Granules Regulator RNA (mmgR)
About the family: SuhB later renamed mmgR (makes more granules regulator) was a putative non-coding RNA found multiple times in the Agrobacterium tumefaciens genome and related alpha-proteobacteria. Other non-coding RNAs uncovered in the same analysis include: speF, ybhL, metA, and serC.
Source: Rfam by way of RNAcentral